Molecule: ribosomal RNA, 716 nt
Filed under: uncultured bacterium
Lineage: Bacteria
Description: bacterial SSU rRNA
Rfam family: Bacterial small subunit ribosomal RNA
Source: RNAcentral
CAGUUGAGCGAAGCUUUUUGGUAGUUUACUACUAGAAAUGACUGAGCGGCGAACGGGUGAGUAACGCGUGAGCAAUCUACCUUAGUUACUGGGAUAGCCCGAGGAAACUCGGAUUAAUACCGGAUAUUCUUAUUUUUUCACAUGAAGUUUUAAGGAAAGGUCAGCCGAACUAAGAUGAGCUCGCGUUCUAUCAGCUAGUUGGUGGGGUAAAAGCCUACCAAGGCUACGACGGAUAGCUGGUCUGAGAGGACGAUCAGCCACACUGGGACUGAGACACGGCCCAGACUCCUACGGGAGGCUGCAGCAGGGAAUAUUGUGCAAUGAGCGAAAGCUUGACACAGCGACACCGCGUGUGGGAUGACGGUUCUAGGAUUGUAAACCACUUUCAGGAGGGAAGAAAAUGACGGUACCUCCACAAGAAGACCCGGCCAACUAUGUGCCAGCAGCCGCGGUAAUACAUAGGGGUCAAGCGUUGUCCGGAUUUAUUGGGCGUAAAGAGCUCGUAGGCGGUUCAACAAGUCGGUCGUAAAAGUUUAGGGCUCAACCCUAAAAUGUCGAUCGAUACUGUUGUGACUAGGAUACGGUAGAGGUGAAUGGAAUUCCGAGUGCAGCGGUGAAAUGCGUAGAUAUUCGGAGGAACACCAAUUGCGAAGGCAGUUCACUGGACCGUGAUCGACGCUGAGGAGCGAAAGCUAGGGGAGCAAACAGGAUUAGAU